RNAcentral lists this ribosomal RNA (232 nucleotides) under uncultured bacterium. RNAcentral's name for it is "partial 16S ribosomal RNA". It matches the Rfam family "Bacterial small subunit ribosomal RNA", at positions 15 to 228 of the family's 1533-position model. The record is from RNAcentral.
GAUCCUGGCGUCUAGGACGAACGCUGGCGGCGUGCUUAACACAUGCAAGUCGAACGAGAAUCUACAGAUCGAGGAUUCGUCCAAGAGAAGUAGAGGACAGUGGCGGACGGGUGAGUAACGCGUGAGGAACCUGCCUUUCAGAGGGGGACAACAGUUGGAAACGACUGCUAAUACCGCAUGACACAUUGGGGUCGCAUGGCCUUGAUGUCAAAGAUUUAUCGCUGAAAGAUGG